Pocillopora verrucosa is the source of this 274-nucleotide non-coding RNA. The record is from RefSeq and is a predicted model, not a curated record. Lineage: Eukaryota; Metazoa; Cnidaria; Anthozoa; Scleractinia; Pocilloporidae.
UUUUUUUUCUGAUGCAAAGCUUCACAACAAAAAUCUCCUCCAAUCAGAAAAACUGUGCCUGAUAACUAGGAAACAAGAUGAAGCAACUGAAAUAUUUGGAAAAGAUGAUGAGGUGUCUUUCUAUGGGAAUUUUGAUCCCGAUCAAUCCCUUGAUUCCACCAUUCCUGAUGACAAGGAAAAGGGAGAGCACAGAGAUAAGGUUGAGGAGAACAAGACUUUAAGUGAGGAACUAGAAAAGAAGAAAAAGAAGAAGACACGGAAGAAAAGAAAGAAG